Molecule: transfer RNA, 71 nt
Filed under: Lactococcus sp.
Lineage: Bacteria; Bacillati; Bacillota; Bacilli; Lactobacillales; Streptococcaceae
Also listed under: 4 other names
Description: tRNA-Gly
Rfam family: tRNA
About the family: Transfer RNA (tRNA) molecules are approximately 80 nucleotides in length. Their secondary structure includes four short double-helical elements and three loops (D, anti-codon, and T loops). Further hydrogen bonds mediate the characteristic L-shaped molecular structure. tRNAs have two regions of fundamental functional importance: the anti-codon, which is responsible for specific mRNA codon recognition, and the 3' end, to which the tRNAs corresponding amino acid is attached (by aminoacyl-tRNA synthetases). tRNAs cope with the degeneracy of the genetic code in two manners: having more than one tRNA (with a specific anti-codon) for a particular amino acid; and 'wobble' base-pairing, i.e. permitting non-standard base-pairing at the 3rd anti-codon position.
Source: RNAcentral
GCGGAUGUAGUUUAGUGGUAGAACUUCAGCCUUCCAAGCUGACCAUGCGAGUUCGAUUCUCGUCAUCCGCU